GAUGAACGCUGGCGGCGUGCCUAAUACAUGCAAGUCGAGCGAACAGAUGAGGAGCUUGCUCCUCUGACGUUAGCGGCGGACGGGUGAGUAACACGUGGAUAACCUACCUAUAAGACUGGGAUAACUUCGGGAAACCGGAGCUAAUACCGGAUAAUAUAUUGAACCGCAUGGUUCAAUAGUGAAAGACGGUUUUGCUGUCACUUAUAGAUGUAUUCGCGCCGCAUUAGCUAAUUGGUAAGGUAACGGCUUACCAAGGCAACGAUGCGUAGCCGACCUGUGAGCGGGAUCGGCCACACUAGAACUAAAACAAAGUCAAGACUCCUACGGGAGGCAGAAGUAGGGAAUCUUCCGCAAUGCGCGAAAUACUGACGGAGCAACGCCACGUGAGUGAUGAAGGUCUUAGGACAGUAAAACUCUGUUAUUAGGGAAGAACAAAUGUGUAAGUAACUAUGCACGUCUUGACGGUACCUAAUCAGAAAGCCACGGCUAACUACGUG
This 497-nucleotide ribosomal RNA is filed under the name uncultured bacterium. RNAcentral's name for it is "partial 16S ribosomal RNA". It matches the Rfam family "Bacterial small subunit ribosomal RNA", at positions 28 to 507 of the family's 1533-position model. The record is from RNAcentral.